This is a non-coding RNA of Poecilia reticulata (guppy), 226 nucleotides long. Lineage: Eukaryota; Metazoa; Chordata; Actinopteri; Cyprinodontiformes; Poeciliidae. The record is from RefSeq and is a predicted model, not a curated record.
ACUUUUCCCAGGUUUGUCGAAGCAGAAAGUUACGUUCUGUAUCAAGCUCUGCUGCAUUGAAGCCCAUCACCACUGGACCAAUAGUCUGGACCAAAUGAAGAAAUACAUCACUUCUCAUUACAUCACUUCUGUAAUGUAAUGAGGUCGGUUGAAAUAAGAAAAAUGUGGCAUUUAAUUGACCUGAGUUUUCUGAUCUGUUACUGAAAUUAAACUGAAAUGAAAUAUA